RNAcentral lists this ribosomal RNA (463 nucleotides) under Vreelandella stevensii. RNAcentral describes it as "partial 16S ribosomal RNA". It matches the Rfam family "Bacterial small subunit ribosomal RNA", at positions 338 to 795 of the family's 1533-position model. Lineage: Bacteria; Pseudomonadati; Pseudomonadota; Gammaproteobacteria; Oceanospirillales; Halomonadaceae. The record is from RNAcentral.
CCUACGGGUGGCUGCAGUGGGGAAUAUUGGACAAUGGGCGAAAGCCUGAUCCAGCCAUGCCGCGUGUGUGAAGAAGGCCUUCGGGUUGUAAAGCACUUUCAGUGGGGAAGAAAGCCUUGGGGCUAAUACCCUCGAGGAAGGACAUCACCCACAGAAGAAGCACCGGCUAACUCCGUGCCAGCAGCCGCGGUAAUACGGAGGGUGCGAGCGUUAAUCGGAAUUACUGGGCGUAAAGCGCGCGUAGGCGGUCUGAUAAGCCGGUUGUGAAAGCCCCGGGCUCAACCUGGGAACGGCAUCCGGAACUGUCAGGCUAGAGUGCAGGAGAGGAAGGUAGAAUUCCCGGUGUAGCGGUGAAAUGCGUAGAGAUCGGGAGGAAUACCAGUGGCGAAGGCGGCCUUCUGGACUGACACUGACGCUGAGGUGCGAAAGCGUGGGUAGCAAACAGGAUUAGAUACCUUUAGUC